GAGGAAAGCUGGCGGCGUGCCUAAUACAUGCAAGUCGAGCGAACGGACGAGAAGCUUGCUUUUCUGAUGUUAGCGGCGGACGGGUGAGUAACACGUGGAUAACCUACCUAUAAGACUGGGAUAACUUCGGGAAACCGGAGCUAAUACCGGAUAAUAUUUUGAACCGCAUGGUUCAAAAGUGAAAGACGGUCUUGCUGUCACUUAUAGAUGGAUCCGCGCUGCAUUAGCUAGUUGGUAAGGUAACGGCUUACCAAGGCAACGAUGCAUAGCCGACCUGAGAGGGUGAUCGGCCACACUGGAACUGAGACACGGUCCAGACUCCUACGGGAGGCAGCAGUAGGGAAUCUUCCGCAAUGGGCGAAAGCCUGACGGAGCAACGCCGCGUGAGUGAUGAAGGUCUUCGGAUCGUAAAACUCUGUUAUUAGGGAAGAACAUAUGUGUAAGUAACUGUGCACAUCUUGACGGUACCUAAUCAGAAAGCCACGGCUAACUACGUG
RNAcentral lists this ribosomal RNA (497 nucleotides) under uncultured bacterium. Its description in RNAcentral is "partial 16S ribosomal RNA". It matches the Rfam family "Bacterial small subunit ribosomal RNA", at positions 28 to 507 of the family's 1533-position model. The record is from RNAcentral.